Molecule: long non-coding RNA, 398 nt
Filed under: Elaeis guineensis (African oil palm)
Lineage: Eukaryota; Viridiplantae; Streptophyta; Magnoliopsida; Arecales; Arecaceae
Description: long non-coding RNA (EGUI_LNC000986)
Source: RNAcentral
CCGUGGGAAUGUCACGUCGCCGUGUGGCCGUCUAGUCACCAGGGUUGACCUCGCUCUCGGCGGGACAAUGCCCCUGGGGAACUGUGCCGCAUGUCCGUGUCAGAGCUGACAAGGUCUGGCGACUGUACGGCGAUGGGAGGAGACGGCCGACCCUUGGUCGGUGGCCAGCAGAGUGGCGUCGGGUUCCUCCGUCAGUCGGCGAGUUUCAUGUGAGUCGGCCUCUGGGUCUGGUCGGUCGGGAAGGAUACGCCCGACAUACCUCCAGUCGGCGAUUGGGCCAUCGAAAAGCCGUCGGUAGCGUCCGUUAGUCGGUCACCCCCGGCUUUCAGUCGAGGUCGGUCGGUCGGGCCGCCAGCCGGUCGGGCCCUCCGAUAGUCGGUCGGUGGGUUUCCCCCAAC